GGGGCUGUGGCGGAACUGGUAGACGCAGGGGAUUCAAAAUCCCCCGGAGCAAUCCUUGAGAGUUCGAGUCUCUCUAGCCCUACCA
This 85-nucleotide transfer RNA is filed under the name Candidatus Pelagibacteraceae bacterium. RNAcentral describes it as "tRNA-Leu". It matches the Rfam family "tRNA". From Rfam's summary of the family: Transfer RNA (tRNA) molecules are approximately 80 nucleotides in length. Their secondary structure includes four short double-helical elements and three loops (D, anti-codon, and T loops). Further hydrogen bonds mediate the characteristic L-shaped molecular structure. tRNAs have two regions of fundamental functional importance: the anti-codon, which is responsible for specific mRNA codon recognition, and the 3' end, to which the tRNAs corresponding amino acid is attached (by aminoacyl-tRNA synthetases). tRNAs cope with the degeneracy of the genetic code in two manners: having more than one tRNA (with a specific anti-codon) for a particular amino acid; and 'wobble' base-pairing, i.e. permitting non-standard base-pairing at the 3rd anti-codon position. The record is from RNAcentral. Lineage: Bacteria; Pseudomonadati; Pseudomonadota; Alphaproteobacteria; Candidatus Pelagibacterales; Candidatus Pelagibacteraceae.